This 202-nucleotide long non-coding RNA is filed under the name Vigna radiata. RNAcentral describes it as "long non-coding RNA (VRAD_LNC015575)". Lineage: Eukaryota; Viridiplantae; Streptophyta; Magnoliopsida; Fabales; Fabaceae. The record is from RNAcentral.
GCGACUCUUAAAACAGCUCCCUCUCCACAAUAGCAGACCUGGUUUCCCACCAUUGCUCCUCUAGACGAAGCACUACGAGAGCUCCCCCAUGACCAAGUAGAAGACUGAUUCAUUGACAUUGCUUCCAGUACGGAGACGAUAAAGCUUCGACCACACCUACAACAAAAACCCAUUCCCAAACAGCCAAGUUAGGGCACCCACC